Molecule: ribosomal RNA, 433 nt
Filed under: uncultured bacterium
Lineage: Bacteria
Description: partial 16S ribosomal RNA
Rfam family: Bacterial small subunit ribosomal RNA
Source: RNAcentral
AACGAACGCUGGCGGCAGGCCUAACACAUGCAAGUCGAGCGAGGACUUCGGUCCUAGCGGCGGACGGGUGAGUAACGCGUGGGAACGUGCCCUUUGCUUCGGAAUAGCCCUGGGAAACUGGGAGUAAUACCGGAUGAGCCCUUUGGGGGAAAGAUUUAUCGGCGAAGGAUCGGCCCGCGUUGGAUUAGGUAGUUGGUGGGGUAAUGGCCUACCAAGCCGACGAUCCAUAGCUGGUAUGAGAGGAUGAUCAGCCACACUGGGACUGAGACGCGGCCCAGACUCCUGCGGGAGGCAGCAGUGGGGAAUGUUAGACAAUGGGGGAUACCCUGAUCUAGCCAUGCCGCGUGAGCGAUUAAGGCCUUAGGGUUGUAAAGCUCUUUCAGCUGGGAAGAUAAUGACGGUACCAGCAGAAGAAGCCCCGGCUAACUCCGUG